AGGAUGUGGGAUUGCACAGACAACCAGGAUGUUGGCUUAGAAGCAGCCACUCAUUUAAAGAGUGCGUAAUAGCUCACUGGUCGAGUGAUCCUGCGCCGAAAAUUUCCGGGGCUAAAACGUACUACCGAAGCUACGGCAUCAUUUAUGAUGGGUAGGGGAGCUUCGUAUGCAGGCUGAAGCAUGACCGUAAGGACAUGUGGACAGUAUACGAGUGAGAAUGUUGGCAUGAGUAGCGAGACGUGGGUGAGAAUCCCACGGGCCGUAAACCCAAGGUUUCCAGGGGAAGGUUCGUCCGCCCUGGGUUAGUCGGGACCUAAGCCGAGGCCGAAAGGCGUAGGUGAUGGACAACAGGUUGAUAUUCCUGUACCGCCAAUAAGCGUUUGAGAGAUGGAGUGACACAGUAGGAUAAGCUAACCGUACUGUUGGUUAUGUACGGCUAAGCAUUGAGGCAGUCUAAAUAGGCAAAUCCGUUUAGACAAUGCUAGGAUGUGAUGGGGAAGCCCUUCGGGGCGAAGUAGCUGAUUUCACACUGUCAAGAAAAGCUUCUAUCGAGUUUAAAGGCGCCCGUACCGUAAACCGACACAGGUGGGUGAGGAGAGUAUCCUAAGGCCAGCGAGAGAACUAUUGUUAAGGAACUCGGCAAAAUGACCCCGUAACUUAGGGAGAAGGGGUGCCUGUCUAUGACAGGCCGCAGAGAAUAGGCCCAAGCGACUGUUUACCAAAAACACAGGUUUCUGCUAAGUCGCAAGACGAUGUAUAGGAGCUGACGCCUGCCCGGUGCUGGAAGGUUAAGGGGAUCUGUUAGAGCAAUCGAAGCAGUGAACUUAAGCCCCAGUAAACGGCGGCCGUAACUAUAACGGUCCUAAGGUAGCGAAAUUCCUUGUCGGGUAAGUUCCGACCCGCACGAAAGGCGUAACGAUUUGGGCACUGUCUCAACAAUAGACUCGGUGAAAUUGUAAUCCCGGUGAAGAUGCCGGGUACCUGCGACAGGACGGAAAGACCCCAUGGAGCUUUACUGUAGCUUGACGUUGGGUCUUGGUACUACAUGUACAGGAUAGGUGGGAGACUAUGAAGCAUGGACGCCAGUCUGUGUGGAGUCAUCCUUGGGAUACCACCCUUGUAGUACUGGGAUCCUAACCAUAGGCCUUGAAUCAGGUCUUGGAACACCGUCAGGUGGGCAGUUUGACUGGGGCGGUCGCCUCCUAAAAAGUAACGGAGGCGCUCAAAGGUUUCCUCAGCACGGUCGGAAAUCGUGCGAAGAGUGUAAAGGCAAAAGGAAGCUUGAUUGCAAGACAUACAGGUCGAGCAAGGACGAAAGUCGGACUUAGUGAUCCGGUGGUUCCGCAUGGAAGGGCCAUCGCUCAACGGAUAAAAGCUACCCUGGGGAUAACAGGCUGAUCUCCCCCAAGAGUCCACAUCGACGGGGAGGUUUGGCACCUCGAUGUCGGCUCAUCACAUCCUGGGGCUGUAGUAGGUCCCAAGGGUUGGGCUGUUCGCCCAUUAAAGUGGUACGCGAGCUGGGUUCAGAACGUCGUGAGACAGUUCGGUCCCUAUCCGUCGCAGGCGUAGGAAAUUUGAGAAGACCUGUCCUUAGUACGAGAGGACCGGGAUGGACGUACCUCUGGUGUACCAGUUGUUCUGCCAAGGGCAUGGCUGGGUAGCUAUGUACGGAAUGGAUAAGCGCUGAAAGCAUCUAAGCGCGAAGCCAACUUCAAGAUAAGAUUUCCCACCGUAAGGGUAAGACCCCAGGAAGACUACCUGGUUGAUAGGUCGAAGGUGUAAGUGCAGUAAUGUAUUUAGCUUAUCGAUACUAAUAGGUCGAGGACUUGACCAA
This 1834-nucleotide ribosomal RNA is filed under the name human gut metagenome. RNAcentral describes it as "bacterial LSU rRNA". It matches the Rfam family "Bacterial large subunit ribosomal RNA", at positions 1070 to 2925 of the family's 2925-position model. The record is from RNAcentral.